This 483-nucleotide ribosomal RNA is filed under the name uncultured bacterium. RNAcentral's name for it is "partial 16S ribosomal RNA". It matches the Rfam family "Bacterial small subunit ribosomal RNA", at positions 30 to 507 of the family's 1533-position model. The record is from RNAcentral.
UUGAACGCUGGCGGCAGGCCUAACACAUGCCAGUCGAGCGGAUGAAGGGAGCUUGCUCCUGGCUUCAGCGGCGGACGGGUGAGUAAUGCCUAGGAAUCUGCCUGGUAGUGGGGGAUAACGUCCGGAAACGGGCGCUAAUACCGCAUACGUCCUGAGGGAGAAAGUGGGGGAUCUUCGGACCUCACGCUAUCAGAUGAGCCUAGGUCGGAUUAGCUAGUUGGUGGGGUAAAGGCCUACCAAGGCGACGAUCCGUAACUGGUCUGAGAGGAUGGUCAGUCACACUGGAACUGAGACACGGUCCAGACUCCUACGGGAGGCAGCAGUGGGGAAUAUUGGACAAUGGGCGAAAGCCUGAUCCAGCCAUGCCGCGUGUGUGAAGAAGGUCUUCGGAUUGUAAAGCACUUUAAGUUGGGAGGAAGGGCAGUAAGUUAAUACCUUGCUGUUUUGACGUUACCAACAGAAUAAGCACCGGCUAACUUCGUG